GUGGCAGUAGCUUAGUGGUAGAGCUCUCGCUUCGAACACGGGAAGACCUGCGUUCGAUUCCCGGUUGCUUCC
Molecule: transfer RNA, 72 nt
Filed under: Toxocara canis (dog roundworm)
Lineage: Eukaryota; Metazoa; Nematoda; Chromadorea; Rhabditida; Toxocaridae
Rfam family: tRNA
About the family: Transfer RNA (tRNA) molecules are approximately 80 nucleotides in length. Their secondary structure includes four short double-helical elements and three loops (D, anti-codon, and T loops).
Source: Rfam by way of RNAcentral